This 465-nucleotide ribosomal RNA is filed under the name uncultured bacterium. Its description in RNAcentral is "partial 16S ribosomal RNA". It matches the Rfam family "Bacterial small subunit ribosomal RNA", at positions 28 to 507 of the family's 1533-position model. The record is from RNAcentral.
GACGAACGCUGGCGGCGUGCUUAACACAUGCAAGUCGAACGGAAAGGCCCUGCUUGCAGGGUACUCGAGUGGCGAACGGGUGAGUAACACGUGGGUGAUCUGCCCUGCACUUCGGGAUAAGCCUGGGAAACUGGGUCUAAUACCGGAUAGGAGCCAUUUUUAGUGUGAUGGUUGGAAAGUUUUUUCGGUGUAGGAUGAGCUCGCGGCCUAUCAGCUUGGUGGUGGGGUAAUGGCCUACCAAGGCGGCGACGGGUAGCCGGCCUGAGAGGGUGGACGGCCACAUUGGGACUGAGAUACGGCCCAGACUCCUACGGGGGGCAGCAGUGGGGAAUAUUGCACAAUGGGCGCAAGCCGGAUGCAGCGACGCCGCGUGGGGGAUGACGGCCUUCGGGUUGUAAACUCCUUUCGCUAGGGACGAAGCUUUUUGUGACGGUACCUAGAUAAGAAGCACCGGCUAACUACGUG